Molecule: ribosomal RNA, 468 nt
Filed under: uncultured bacterium
Lineage: Bacteria
Description: partial 16S ribosomal RNA
Rfam family: Bacterial small subunit ribosomal RNA
Source: RNAcentral
GACGAACGCUGGCGGCGUGCUUAACACAUGCAAGUCGAACGGAAAGGCCCUGCUUUUGUGGGGUGCUCGAGUGGCGAACGGGUGAGUAACACGUGAGUAACCUGCCCUUGACUUUGGGAUAACUUCAGGAAACUGGGGCUAAUACCGGAUAGGAGCUCCUGCUGCAUGGUGGGGGUUGGAAAGUUUCGGCGGUUGGGGAUGGACUCGCGGCUUAUCAGCUUGUUGGUGGGGUAGUGGCUUACCAAGGCUUUGACGGGUAGCCGGCCUGAGAGGGUGACCGGCCACAAUGGGACUGAGAUACGGCCCAGACUCCUACGGGAGGCAGCAGUGGGGAAUAUUGCACAAUGGGCGGAAGCCUGAUGCAGCAACGCCGCGUGCGGGAUGACGGCCUUCGGGUUGUAAACCGCUUUCGCCUGUGGCGAAGCGUGAGUGACGGUAAUGGGUAAAGAAGCACCGGCUAACUACGUG